RNAcentral lists this ribosomal RNA (460 nucleotides) under uncultured bacterium. RNAcentral's name for it is "partial 16S ribosomal RNA". It matches the Rfam family "Bacterial small subunit ribosomal RNA", at positions 338 to 795 of the family's 1533-position model. The record is from RNAcentral.
CCUACGGUGGGCUGCAGUGAGGAAUAUUGGUCAAUGGGCGCUAGCCUGAACCAGCCAAGCAGCGUGAAGGAUGACUGCCCUUUGGUUGUUAACCUUCUUUUACAUGGGAAUAAAGUGCAGCAGGUAUACUGCUCUGCAUGUACCCUAUGAAUAAGCAUCGGCUAACUCCGUGCCAGCAGCCGCGGUAAUACGGAGGAUUCGAGCGUUAUCCGGAUUUAUUGGGUUUAAAGGGAGCGUAGGCGGGAUGUUAAGUCAGUUGUGAAAAUUCGGGGCUCAACCGUAGGAUUGCAGUUGAAACUGGCAGCCUUGAGUACGGGAGAGGUAGGCGGAAUUCGUGGUGUAGCGGUGAAAUGCAUAGAUAUCACGAAGAACUCCGAUUGCGAAGGCAGCCUGCUGGACUGUAACUGACGCUGAGGCACGAAAGUGUGGGUAUCAAACAGGAUUAGAUACCCCAGUAGUC